UCUCCGUAGGUGAACCUGCGGAGGGAUCAUUACCGAGCGAGGGCCCCCGGCCCGACCUCCAACCCUUUGUGUUUCUGACUGUGUUGCCUCGGGGGCGACCCGGCGCUUCGGCGCCAGGGGGUCCCCGCUGGUCCACACAACUCUGCAUCUUUGCGUCUGAGUAAACAUUAAAUGAAACAAAACUUUCAACAACGGAUCUCUUGGUUCUGGCAUCGAUGAAGAACGCAGC
This 229-nucleotide unclassified non-coding RNA is filed under the name uncultured fungus. RNAcentral describes it as "sequence contains ITS1, 5.8S rRNA gene". The stretch from base 181 to 229 matches the Rfam family "5.8S ribosomal RNA", at positions 1 to 49 of the family's 154-position model. The record is from RNAcentral. Lineage: Eukaryota; Fungi.